UAAUGAUUAAUUAGCGCCCUCUGCCACGAACGAUUUCGAAACUCACAUAAUCCCGACCACACGUCUCAAUCCAUAGCCCGAGAAUAAUUUAUUCGUAGACCGCUCCUGUAAUCUACCGCGAACGCUUUCAUUUGGAUCUAUCACGCGCACGCUCCGUUUGUAGUAAUUUGCAUAAUUCGAUCCUUUUAAUUGGCCGACGAUCGUCCUCCGUAGAAGGUCAAAGUAUCGUCGAUUCAGCGUAAAAGUUACCUUUUCCCUUCGGCGAACGUUCCAAGGUAAUUGAAAAAAUGUAACGCGACAGUGGUACCGAUCAUCGUGUUCCUUUCCUUCGGUACGAAAUACAUUGAUAACGCGAUCAAGUCGAGCAUCGCAACUACGUCGAGUAACAUCCGCGGAUACACCCACGUGUGCUCGUGCGAACAGCGUGUUAUGAAAGCGACCACGUCGAAACAGGUCAACGUUAACGCGAGAAUGAAUGCAAGCUCGUUAAUCAACUACCUUCUAAAGUUUCUAUCGGAAUGGGAUCUUGGACAACGGAGAAACGGUUGCCGGACGAUUGUGUUCCCGGGCUUUCUACUGUAACUCCUCGCCGAGCAACCGUUGCUCCGUGGCUACGUUCCAAUAAAAUCGAACGUUGCUCCAUUAGCUUCCGCGGUUUGGAGCCGAAGAUGGAAAAAAAAAGGGAAACGGAAGAGAAUGAAAUUAUAAAAGAAGUGUUCGACAAAUUCAGGAACAAAGGGGAAUUCCAGGUGGAGUAUUUGCCGAUCGCUUGGGCGUAAUGAAAAUACAAAUCGAUUACGUUAAGCUAUUAAUAAGGCUUGGCAUCGGACGGUGACUUUGAAUUAGAGACAGAUCGCACGACGCACUUUGUUUCUCGUCGAUCCCGUUCAAUUUUCGAUGGACUGGAAUUAUUUUCUCGCCUUUUCGAAUUUAAUUCGACGAUGCACUCAGGUAGGAUUAUGUCAGAAGCCCGCGGUAAAAUUAACCGUGAAUUCAACAUCUUCUGGCACGUCUAUACGCAUCACGAAUUACGAACUACCUAACCAGUGGAAAAUAAUCGAUAGUCUCGUGGGAGACAUACGUAUGUAUCAAUACGCCACUCCCGCGACUUUGGCUUUUCAUUUUAAUUAAUUCGCUGAGCUAUUAUUUAGCGAAAAUUACUCGAACUUUUAUUGCGAAUCUACAAAAUUCCCAUGAAAAAAAAAAAAAAAUACAAACUGACCAUUUUGACUACUCUGGCAAUGUUAGCGUUAAGGAAACGUUCCAUGCAAUUUACAUGUAUCGUCAUCUUUGUAACGAAACUGGUAAACCGAUCGUUUCGUUUGAUUCGUUCAAGAAAAAUUCAAGUUUCUUGUAAAUUUCUCUUUGUGCAGAAAUAAGAACACAAAAAUGUGAAGACGUAAGAACCAGGCAUUAAUAACAAAAGCCAUGCAUGAACAUUGAACGUAGAUACAGAUCGAUAGAUAUUCAGAGAGCUCGCGUCAUGCGAUUCUCGUUUCACGUCAUCUCAGCCCGACGUCCGUCCUGACCCGCUUUUGCGCGUCAAUAAUAUCGUUGUUAGCGAGGAUAAACCAGAUCCAAUGAAAUUCGUCGUUGGAUCACAAAAUCGAAUAACAGAGUUCAGUUGGUUCUGGCGAGACGACGAAAGGUAUACGAGCAACCGAUUUGACAGGUAACGGAACGCUGAUGAAGAAGAAUACCAGGUUAUCUUCCGGGAUGAUGUCAGAGAUCGAACGUUUCUACACCGAAACGCGAAAGAGUAGGUAUGUUUACACGAGAGGACGAAAGCAGGCCGACGUUAAAAUAUACUGGUAAAAAUUCGGAUUAACGGUAUACCGGGAAGAUUUGAGAGAAGAAACGCGAUCAGAGAUCGAGUAAUGUUUCGUAACGUUCACUGAAUAGCAUCUUAAAAUUUUGAUAAUUAGAUUAAGAAGACAGCGUAAUAUGGAUUUUGCUAGUUUGCCAGAUGAAACGAUACAACGUUUAAAAAGGGAUGGACGUUUACGGAUGGAGGCUUCUAAAUAUACGAAAGAUUACGUACAAGUAUCAUCCGGCUGAUCCUCCGCGAUAAUCUGCUGGUGCGCGUAACAGGUAUCCGGUGCGUCUUUCCUGACACUGGUCUCCUCUUUUACAAACACCAUGAUUUAUUUUCCGAACGCGAGUCACGAUUUAUUUUUCUCGAGAAUCGCUGUUUUCUAAUUCACCGUGCCAAUUAUGCUUGAACUGCUAGAAUAAUCCAGCGUGUCCACGAUUUCACUUAAAAUUCCAAGACUCUUCUCCUUUUUACGGAGAAACGAUCACUGAAACGUCUAACUUUUUACUGUUAUAGUAAACCGGUACUUCGACUCUCGCAACUUUGUUCCAGCGAAUCUGAAAGUAACGAAGUUAUACGCCGAAAAUAUUCUCCUCUUAUUCUCUAUCCUAAUCUUCGAACUUCCAAUCUCUGAAUUUGCAGUUGCAAUGAAAAUUAUCGAACGAGCGUACGUAUGUAUCGAUUCUUCGCAAUGCUAGGGAUUUCCAAAGUAGCACAGGAGAUGUGGGAACGGUUCGAAAAGCGCGCUGCUUUGCGAAACGUCAAACGCGGCGCGUGGCGGAUCAGCUGUUGAGUGGAAGAAAAGGCGAGCCGCGAGAAGCAGAAUAAACGGCGCGACUCGCGCCAGGAAAACCGAGCUACUGACCGGGUACACGCGGCCGACGAUUCUUCGACAACACGAGUACGAGCACGAGCACGAGCACGGCCGAGUACCGGUUCGUGAAGUUCCGUCGGCUAUAUAGUGCUUCUUAUAAGGUGAGACCCGAAGGUGUACCGAUGCACUCGCGUCUUGCAACACUCCUACGCGAGUACACCCACACGCGGAUUAUCGCGACCAAACAAUCGACCGCGACCGGUCUAAUCGUAUUUCCCUUCAGGGUCGGUUUGAUUCGCCGGUCGCGAUAAUCGUUUGUUAGCUCGAUGGAAGAAGACUCGGCAGAGUUCAACGUUUGUUUAAUGGACGGUGAACGGGAUGAAGUCGGAGCUCUUCGCGCACGUUUCUGGGGUAAUACGCUUGGAAAGAUCGGUGUCGGUUGAAUACAUUUUGAUUUCAGGUGAACCGGCUUUAGAGCCGAUCUUUAAGGCAAAAUGGAUGAAGUUGUUCCAUUCGUCGAGCAAGUUGCGACAGACUUAUCGCAACCGUGACGCUGAUACGUAUGUUGAAUCAUUUUCGAGUCAACAGGAUGUUUCUAUCGAUAAAACGUUUUUUGAAAAAUUGUGAAUUGUAUCUCAUUAUAUUUAAUAAAGCUAUUCUUGGAAAAUAA
Long non-coding RNA from Bombus pyrosoma, 3297 nucleotides. RefSeq lists it as uncharacterized. The record is from RefSeq and is a predicted model, not a curated record. The transcript has 2 exons. Lineage: Eukaryota; Metazoa; Arthropoda; Insecta; Hymenoptera; Apidae.